Long non-coding RNA from Gasterosteus aculeatus aculeatus (three-spined stickleback), 293 nucleotides. The record is from Ensembl. Lineage: Eukaryota; Metazoa; Chordata; Actinopteri; Perciformes; Gasterosteidae.
CAGCUGGACCCAGAUCAGCCUGACCUCACAAUCCGACAACGGACCGGCGUGAAAUGGAAGUCGACGCUUCUGUAGAGAUGGUUCACCGGCAGGUUUAGCUAGCUAGUCAGCUACGUGCUAACGCCGAAUAUAUGCAGGCUUGACUGUGUUUGGAAGUGGAGCGGUAUUUCUGGCCGGACAUCUCUUGGACAUGGAUUACAAAGGAGGAGCGACGCAGCCAGUCAAUCGGCCUCCUGCCUUCCCUCCUGAAUGAAUUUACUUCAAUUAGAGGCUGCAAUCGAUCACAAGAGGCC